GAUGAACGCUGGCGGCGUGCUUAACACAUGCAAGUCGAACGAAGCACUUAUCUUUGAUUCUUCGGAUGAAGAGGUUUGUGACUGAGUGGCGGACGGGUGAGUAACGCGUGGGUAACCUGCCUCAUACAGGGGGAUAACAGUUAGAAAUGACUGCUAAUACCGCAUAAGACCACAGAGCCGCAUGGCCCAGUGGGAAAAACUCCGGUGGUAUGAGAUGGACCCGCGUCUGAUUAGGUAGUUGGUGGGGUAACGGCCUACCAAGCCGACGAUCAGUAGCCGACCUGAGAGGGUGACCGGCCACAUUGGGACUGAGACACGGCCCAAACUCCUACGGGAGGCAGCAGUGGGGAAUAUUGCACAAUGGGGGAAACCCUGAUGCAGCGACGCCGCGUGAGCGAAGAAGUAUUUCGGUAUGUAAAGCUCUAUCAGCAGGGAAGAAAAUGACGGUACCUGACUAAGAAGCACCGGCUAAAUACGUGCCAGCAGCCGCCGUAA
This 495-nucleotide ribosomal RNA is filed under the name uncultured bacterium. RNAcentral's name for it is "partial 16S ribosomal RNA". It matches the Rfam family "Bacterial small subunit ribosomal RNA", at positions 28 to 523 of the family's 1533-position model. The record is from RNAcentral.